Molecule: ribosomal RNA, 629 nt
Filed under: Escherichia coli
Lineage: Bacteria; Pseudomonadati; Pseudomonadota; Gammaproteobacteria; Enterobacterales; Enterobacteriaceae
Description: partial 23S ribosomal RNA
Rfam family: Bacterial large subunit ribosomal RNA
Source: RNAcentral
GGUUAAGCGACUAAGCGUACACGGUGGAUGCCCUGGCAGUCAGAGGCGAUGAAGGACGUGCUAAUCUGCGAUAAGCGUCGGUGAGGUGAUAUGAACCGUUAUAACCGGCGAUUUCCGAAUGGGGAAACCCAGUGUGUUUCGACACACUAUCAUUAACUGAAUCCAUAGGUUAAUGAGGCGAACCGGGGGAACUGAAACAUCUAAGUACCCCGAGGAAAAGAAAUCAACCGAGAUUCCCCCAGUAGCGGCGAGCGAACGGGGAGGAGCCCAGAGCCUGAAUCAGUGUGUGUGUUAGUGGAAGCGUCUGGAAAGGCGCGCGAUACAGGGUGACAGCCCCGUACACAAAAAUGCACACAUUGUGAGCUCGAUGAGUAGGGCGGGACACGUGGUAUCCUGUCUGAAUAUGGGGGGACCAUCCUCCAAGGCUAAAUACUCCUGACUGACCGAUAGUGAACCAGUACCGUGAGGGAAAGGCGAAAAGAACCCCGGCGAGGGGAGUGAAAAAGAACCUGAAACCGUGUACGUACAAGCAGUGGGAGCCUCUUAAUGGGGUGACUGCGUACCUUUUGUAUAAUGGGUCAGCGACUUAUAUUCUGUAGCAAGGUUAACCGAAUAGGGGAGCCGAAGGG